Molecule: ribosomal RNA, 228 nt
Filed under: uncultured bacterium
Lineage: Bacteria
Description: partial 16S ribosomal RNA
Rfam family: Bacterial small subunit ribosomal RNA
Source: RNAcentral
UGCGCAGGUGGGCUUGUAAGUCAGUGGUGAAAUACUGCCGCUUAACGGUAGAACUGCCAUUGAUACUGCAAGUCUUGAAUAUGUUGAGGUAGGCGGAAUGUGUCGUGUAGCGGUGAAAUGCAUAGAUAUGACACAGAACGCCGAUUGCGAAGGCAGCUUACUAAGCCAUUAUUGACGCUGAGGCACGAAAGCGUGGGGAGCGAACAGGAUUAGAUACCCUGGUAGUCC